CAUGUAUAAGACUUAGAUUCAUGUGUUGAACACUUCCUCUGUUGCUGCUGCUGUAAGAAUUGCUAAAGCCUUCGCUUCCGUAUUCAAUUGUCCAUAGUGUGGCGUUUGUAUGGAGUCCCCGGUCGUCUCACGGACUAUUGACUCGUACACCACUAAUCCGCUGCCACCAACCAUGUCCUCCCUGGUAAAAUCACUUCAGUCUCAGUCAUGUUUUCAAUUAAUAAAGAAGAGUGUACUUUAUUUUAGACACAAACAAACUUUUACGGCAUUCCAAACGUUGUUGCUCUUUACUUUCUUAGUCUUAUUUUCCUCUCUCUAUCUCUUCUACCUCCCCACACUCAAGAAUCCUCUGCCCUAACUGUCUCUCUAUUACCAACUGCCUGCCAACUGCUUCUCCAACUGCCUUUCCCAACCAGCCAGCCCACUAAAACCAACCAACUACCACCAACAACUCCCAAUGAACUCCUCCCAGAACUGAUUUUAUAGUCCCACUGACUUCACCCCCCUGUGUCCUGACUGGGCAACCUGUUUAACUAUUUACCUCCAGCACUCUCUCUUUUGUUAACGUCACACAUACCUACUGUGAAUAGAAUUCACUGUGGUUCAGGGAAGAAAGCAAAGUUAGUUAAGCCAGGUUUGAAGUUGGACUCCCCCCAAAAAAAACCAGGGCUGGCCCACCCAUGAGACAAGCUGAGGUGACCACCUCGGGUGGCAGGAUCCACAGGAGUGACAGAUCCAGCCUCCGAGGCAUUUGUUGCCAGCUGCUGCUGCAGUGGAAGCGAUAUCUAAGACAUGUUCCUUGGAGGCCAGACCAGCUGCCUCCUCAGCAGCAGCCCCCGAUUCUGCCUCCAUAGCACCCUCUUGGUGAAUAGGAGGCACUGCUUGUCUCCUCCCAUCCCUAGGCAGGAAAUGGAAGGGACUGCCUUCUGUGGUCUCCUAGGCUCUGCACCUGCCUGACAUGAUUCAGAGAGUGUCGCCCCCUAUGAUGGGCUUUGAUUCCCAUUUCCACCACUGAGUAAGGUUGAUUUUACUCCCCCGCCGCCACCACCACCAUUCCUGAUGUAGAUCUUCACUCACCCCUUCCUCCCUGGUGGGGAGGAUGCCAUUCUGUAGUUUAUUUCAGGUGCCAAAAUAUAUAGGACCGGCCCUACCCUAAACCAUACGAUACACUGUGCAAAAUGUCGAAGUGUGGUUCAUUGGAAAUGGAAAUUAAUGGUUCUGAUCUCAUCAAAAGCCAUCGCAGGGGAGAAGGAAAGGGGUGCUUGCAAACCCAAGUUCCAACCAGGCUCAUUCCCAUGGUGCUAACAAAACAGAAGAUAUGAGGGCUACUUGAAAUGAUAGGAGCGAGUGGAAUGGUCGAAAAAUGGCAAAGGUGGUGUCAGAGAGCCAGUGUAGAUGGUUAAUUUUGUAUCUGCUGUCAAAAUAGUAUAAAUGUUAGCAUCUGAAGAGGAAAAGCAUUCUCUUUCAAAGUCAUGUGCUGCUUUUUCCAGAUGCACAGUUUCACAGAGGGAAGGAAGAACUGUUUAGCAUCCCCAGCAGAGUAGCUGUUGGGGACUUGGUUGCAACAAAUGAGAUACACUGCACUUAGGUACAUACCACAUACAUGGAUCCUUGUCCCUUUUGAUUUGUUUGCUCUGGUGUAUAUAUUGUUAACUGAGCAGUGCCUGCAGUUUUUGCAUCUGCUGUACCUACAGGGGAUCACUGCAGUUUAGGUUGUUGUGUCAUGAUUUAUCGGAAGCUUGUUCUAAUUAUUUUUUUAAACUGUAAAAAGGUGUGUGAGUCUGUGGAGGUCCCUGAUUAUGCAACAUCAGUGUCUGCCCAACCUGUUCCGCCAUGAAAUAUUGAGUGUUUGAGGAAAGUUUUUCCUUUUUUUGAAAUGUAUUUUAGCACAUGUACGUUACACAGUAUAUGCAUAUUGCACUUUUUUUAAAUUAUUGUGAUAUCUUGUGUGGUCGUUUUCUGGUGUGUCUUUUGAGAAAUAUUGGCUUGAGGUUGAAUCCAAUAGGGAGUCAUUGCAUGAACAGAAAGAUUUCUGUUCAUGCAGCAGAAAUUACCCUCCCCUCCCUCAUGGAUUCCAUACACCACCCCCAAAUUUGCAGGAUUGGGGGAACCCUCAGAGAAGAUGUGAAGAUGCAUAGUCCACACUCUCAAAAAAGCCUAUUGAAAAUGAAAUGGGUGUGUCUUUAAUGAAUGCCUCAAGAAUCCAGUGGCAAAACAGUUAGCACAUGGGUAGGCAAACUAAGGCCCGAGGGCCGGAUCCAGCCCAAUCACCUUCUAAAUCCAGCCCACAGAUGGUCCGGGAAUCAGUGUGUUUUUACAUGAGCAGAAUGUGUGCUUUUAUUUAAAAUGAAUCUCUGGGUUAUUUGUGGUGCAUAGGAAUUCGUUCAUUAUUUUUUUUCAAAAUAUAGUCUGGCCCCCCACAAGGUCUGAGGGACAGUGGACCAGCCCCCCGCUGAAAAACUUUGCUGACCCCUGACUUAGCAGAUAUCCUCAAGAGAUCUCACAAUAUGACAACCCCAACUGAAAAAGAACUUCUCCAAGUUUCAGCCUCUUCAAAAUAGUCCCUGUGGAUACCAUUUCAUGCGGUAGGUGAGAUGGAUGUAGGAGAAUGUGCUUCCUAAGGUACCCAAGACCUGGAAUGACAGGUCAUGAAACAUUUAGGAUAUAUCCAUUUAAGCCCCACUUUAGCAUAAUCUUAAAUGGAAAGAAGAGCAGUCAUGGCAAAUGUAUUUUAGACAACGAAAUAACUAGAGAUAAUAAAAGAUAUUAUAUCCUGCCUCACUAAGUAAUCAGAAGAGGUGUCAAUUGGUUGUUAUGAGUGCCAAACAACCUUUCAAUAAGGAAGUUUAUUAUGAUGCUGAUACAUGGGCUAUGCAGCAAGAAAGAAUAUGUCUGAAAGAAUAUGCCUGAAAGACAAGGAGGUAUAAUGUGAAUAGCAAGACAGUAAGGAAUCUACCCUAAUAAUAAAAAAUUCUUUUUGCACCUAAACAAGUCCCGUAUUUUUCACUCCAUAAGACACAC
Podarcis lilfordi (Lilford's wall lizard) is the source of this 3021-nucleotide non-coding RNA. NCBI's taxonomy places the organism in Eukaryota, Metazoa, Chordata, Lepidosauria, Squamata, Lacertidae. The record is from the annotation of a GenBank genome assembly.